GGAUUAGAUACCCUGGUAGUCCACGCCGUAAACGAUGUCUACUAGCCGUUGGGAAACUUGAUUUCUUAGUGGCGCAGCUAACGCACUAAGUAGACCGCCUGGGGAGUACGGCCGCAAGGUUAAAACUCAAAUGAAUUGACGGGGGCCCGCACAAGCGGUGGAGCAUGUGGUUUAAUUCGAUGCAACGCGAAGAACCUUACCAGGACUUGACAUCCAGAGAACUUUCUAGAGAUAGAUUGGUGCCUUCGGGAACUCUGAGACAGGUGCUGCAUGGCUGUCGUCAGCUCGUGCCG
This 293-nucleotide ribosomal RNA is filed under the name uncultured bacterium. Its description in RNAcentral is "partial 16S ribosomal RNA". It matches the Rfam family "Bacterial small subunit ribosomal RNA", at positions 775 to 1067 of the family's 1533-position model. The record is from RNAcentral.